GCGUGUCGACGAAGAUCGUCCCGCGCCGUCGACCGGAGGCGGUGCCGUACUCCUCGUGACCAUUGACCAGCAGCGGUUGGGCCGGAGCCAUAAGGCAGCAGUGGAAGGUGAGUCGGUGUGAGCCCGUCUUGCAUUGACAGCUUAUAGCCCUGUCUGUACGGUGCUCCGGCGUGACCGAGGAAGCCGGGCAGCCCUUGCCCAUUGUGGUGCACGCCGAAUGGCGGGGCCUCCCGACAGGAGCAAACUGUGCGGUGUGGACUGCAUGCAGUGCUCACUGUUGCGGUGAACUCGUGCCGGAGAGUGCCACUGGUGUGCCAGUGCUGCUGGUGUUCAGAU
Molecule: unclassified non-coding RNA, 336 nt
Filed under: Hyrtios erectus
Lineage: Eukaryota; Metazoa; Porifera; Demospongiae; Dictyoceratida; Thorectidae
Description: sequence contains 28S rRNA gene
Source: RNAcentral